Molecule: ribosomal RNA, 440 nt
Filed under: uncultured bacterium
Lineage: Bacteria
Description: partial 16S ribosomal RNA
Rfam family: Bacterial small subunit ribosomal RNA
Source: RNAcentral
CCUACGGGUGGCAGCAGUGGGGAAUAUUGCACAAUGGGGGAAACCCUGAUGCAGCGACGCCGCGUGAGGGAAGAAGUAUUUCGGUAUGUAAACCUCUAUCAGCAGGGAAGAAAAUGACGGUACCUGAUUAAGAAGCCCCGGCUAACUACGUGCCAGCAGCCGGGGUAAUACGUAGGGGGCAAGCGUUAUCCGGAUUUACUGGGUGUAAAGGGAGCGUAGGCGGUGUAACAAGUCUGGAGUGAAAUCCCGGGGCUUAACCCCGGAACUGCUUUGGAAACUGUGGAACUAGAGUGCAGGAGAGGUAAGUGGAAUUCCUAGUGUAGCGGUGAAAUGCGUAGAUAUUACGAGGAACACCAGUGGCGAAGGCGGGUUACUGGACUGUAACUGACGCUGAGGCACGAAAGCGUGGGGAGCGAACAGGAUUAGAUACCCCAGUAGUC